RNAcentral lists this ribosomal RNA (1131 nucleotides) under Orthocoelium sp. JAS-2013. Its description in RNAcentral is "eukaryotic LSU rRNA". It matches the Rfam family "Eukaryotic large subunit ribosomal RNA", at positions 104 to 929 of the family's 3401-position model. The record is from RNAcentral. Lineage: Eukaryota; Metazoa; Platyhelminthes; Trematoda; Plagiorchiida; Paramphistomidae.
AAAGCCCAGCACCGAAGCCUGUGACUGUUUGGUCACUAGGCAAUGUGGUGUUCUCCCUAGGUCGUCCUUGGAGUCGGGUUGUUUGUGAUUGCAGCCCAAAGUGGGUGGUAAACUCCAUCCAAGGCUAAAUACUUACACGAGUCCGAUAGCGAACAAGUACCGUGAGGGAAAGUUGAAAAGUACUUUGAAGAGAGAGUAAACAGUGCGUGAAACCGCUCAGAGGUAAACGGGUGGAGUUGAACUGCAAACUCUGAGAAUUCAGCUGGUGAGUGUGGUUUGGGCUUGGUCAAAGUGAUUGGCCUGGUGGGUCUGCUCAGCUGCAGGUCCCUGCCUUCGGGUGGGGAUGUGCGAGGCACUUGUCAAGUGUUGCGCGCCCGCAAGGUAACUCGGAUCAGCUCGCCAGUGCACUUUCUCGGAGUGUUCACCACGACCGGCGCUGCUGCCUGUCUGAUGUGGUCAAACCGGUCUUGCAUUGUCCUUGCGGCUCUGUUUGGUCGGGAUGGCAGGUAACUCGUUGGCUUGUGUGCUGGCCUCGGUUGGCAUGCGUUUGGCUUUCGAGCGUAAUCAGCUGGCUAUGUCAGUACUGUGCAGUGCGUCGGAGACGGCGGCUUGUUGUGGGUGUUCGUGCUUGCUCAUUGACGGCUCCGAGUUUGAUUGUUAUGUUGCCUGUCUCUGAUAGGCCUGGUAAUAGCUCGGUUCUGCUUGGUGGGCAGUUGCGGAUGCUUACAUUUCAGGGCCAACAGUCUGUGGUGUAGUGGUAGACUAUCCACCCGACCCGUCUUGAAACACGGACCAAGGAGAGUAACAUGUGCGCGAGUCAUUGGGCGUUACGAAACCCAAAGGCGCAGUGAAAGUAAAGGCUCGGCUUGUCUGGGCUGAGGUGAGAUCCUGUCGUUCCUCACGCAAGGUACUGCCAAGCGUUUGAGCGGCGGGCGCAUCACCGGCCCGUCCCAUGGCGUGGACACGGUCUUCGGGCUGUGCACCGUCGGGGCGGAGCAUGAGCGCACAUGUUGAGACCCGAAAGAUGGUGAACUAUGCUUGCGCAGGUUGAAGCCAGAGGAAACUCUGGUGGAGGACCGCAGCGAUUCUGACGUGCAAAUCGAUCGUCAAACGUGAGUAUAGGGGCGAAAG